UUCCUACGGGGCGCAGCAGUGGGGGAUAUUGCACAAUGGGGGGAACCCUGAUGCAGCGACGCCGCGUGGGCGAUGGAGCGCCUCGGCGCGUAAAGCCCUAUCAGCAGGGAAGAAGAUGACGGUACCUGACUAAGAAGCCCCGGCUAAAUACGUGCCAGCAGCCGCGGUAAUACGGAGGAUGCGAGCGCUAUCCGGAUUUAUUGGGUUUAAAGGGUGCGUAGGCGGUCUGUUAAGUCAGCGGUAAAAUUGCGGGGCUCAACCCCGUCGAGCCGUUGAAACUGGCAGACUUGAGUUGGCGAGAAGUA
This 305-nucleotide ribosomal RNA is filed under the name uncultured bacterium. RNAcentral's name for it is "bacterial SSU rRNA". It matches the Rfam family "Bacterial small subunit ribosomal RNA", at positions 336 to 659 of the family's 1533-position model. The record is from RNAcentral.